RNAcentral lists this ribosomal RNA (435 nucleotides) under uncultured Clostridia bacterium. RNAcentral describes it as "bacterial SSU rRNA". It matches the Rfam family "Bacterial small subunit ribosomal RNA", at positions 1086 to 1504 of the family's 1533-position model. The record is from RNAcentral. Lineage: Bacteria; Bacillati; Bacillota; Clostridia.
UCGCAAGCGAGNCGNCACCCCUUAUUUUCGUGUUAGGCCAAGCAGGUAAAGCUNGGGAACUUCGCGANGAGACUGCCCCGGGAUAACCNGGGANGGAAGGUGGGGGAUGACGUCAAAUUCAUCAUGCCCCUUAUGAUUUGGGCCAAACACACGUGCUACAAUGGCGUAAACAAAGGGAGGCGAAGGAGCGAUCCGGAGCGAAUCCCAAAAAUAACGCCUCAGUUCGGACUGUAGUCUGCAACCCGACUACACGAAGCUGGAAUUGCUAGUAAUCGCAGAUCAGCAUGCUGCGGUGAAUACGUUCCCGGGUCUUGUACACACCGCCCGUCACACCAUGGGAGUCAGUAACGCCCGAAAUCGGUGACCUAACCGCAAGGAAGGAGCCGCUGAAGGCGGGACGGAUAACUGGGGUGAAGUCGUAACAAGGUAGCCGUA